This 245-nucleotide small RNA is filed under the name Otolemur garnettii (small-eared galago). Its description in RNAcentral is "Metazoan signal recognition particle RNA (ENSOGAG00000026568.1)". The record is from RNAcentral. Lineage: Eukaryota; Metazoa; Chordata; Mammalia; Primates; Galagidae.
GCCAGGCGUUGUGGCAGGCGCCUGUAGUCCCAGCUACUUGGGAGGCAGAGGCAGGAGACUCGCUUGAGCCCAGGAGUUGGAGGUUGCUGUCAGCUGUGAUGCCACAGCACUCUACCCAGGGGGACAGCUUGAGGCUCUGUCUCCAAAAAAAAAGAGAAUGAGUCUCACUGUUGCCCUCCGUAGAGUGCAGUGGCAUCACAGCUCACAGCAACCUCCAAAUCUUGGGCUUAAGCACUUCUUUUGCC